GAUGAACGCUGGCGGCGUGCUUAACACAUGCAAGUCGAACGGAAAGGCCCAAGCUUGCUUGGGUACUCGAGUGGCGAACGGGUGAGUAACACGUGGGUGAUCUGCCCUGCACUUCGGGAUAAGCCUGGGAAACUGGGUCUAAUACCGGAUAGGACCACUUCUUGGAUGUUGUGGUGGAAAGUUUUUUCGGUGUGGGAUGAGCUCGCGGCCUAUCAGCUUGUUGGUGGGGUAAUGGCCUACCAAGGCGUCGACGGGUAGCCGGCCUGAGAGGGUGUACGGCCACAUUGGGACUGAGAUACGGCCCAGACUCCUACGGGAGGCAGCAGUGGGGAAUAUUGCACAAUGGGCGCAAGCCUGAUGCAGCGACGCCGCGUGGGGGAUGACGGCCUUCGGGUUGUAAACUCCUUUCGCUAGGGACGAAGCGUUUUGUGACGGUACCGGGAGAAGAAGCACCGGCUAACUACGU
This 466-nucleotide ribosomal RNA is filed under the name uncultured bacterium. RNAcentral describes it as "partial 16S ribosomal RNA". It matches the Rfam family "Bacterial small subunit ribosomal RNA", at positions 28 to 506 of the family's 1533-position model. The record is from RNAcentral.